This is a long non-coding RNA of Cucurbita moschata (crookneck pumpkin), 645 nucleotides long. RefSeq lists it as uncharacterized. The transcript is spliced from 2 exons. The record is from RefSeq and is a predicted model, not a curated record. NCBI's taxonomy places the organism in Eukaryota, Viridiplantae, Streptophyta, Magnoliopsida, Cucurbitales, Cucurbitaceae.
AACCAUUUUCCAGUGAUGGGAUAGAGACUAUGAGAUAGUGCCACUGACGAUCCAAGUUUGAGUUGGCUGACUUACUUAAGAGCGAGAGCAAGUAUCGCACAAUCGUUUCAUAAGUCCUAAAACGGGUGCAGGCGGCAAUGGGACAACUCGAAACCGUCGGCUUAGAGCAGAGAGAGUGCCGAGAAGGUGAUUUAAGGGAGGGGACACUCAGGUUCGAGUGAAGAAUUGUCGGAGAACUCAAGGAAAAAACCCCAUAGUCGUCAGCAACUGUUCAAGCUCGAAUUCGUAACCUUUCCUUAGGUGUUCAAGUGUGUUGGUUGGGAGGUUUUUCGCCAAGGGAGGUCGAGGAACGAAGGGUUGCAAGCAUCAUCGGAGAUGAGGCAUGAAGGAGCGGUCGAGACGGAGGCACACACGAGCUAGGGGCUAUGAAGUUUUGGGCUAGAUCGGUAUCUUGUAUCCCUUUAAUAUGUUUCUCUUACGAACCCUUGAUCUUUGUAUUUCAAGAUUUUUACUAAUUUCCUAUGCCAAGUUUUUUUUUUCUGUGUGUCGUUGUGGUUUGUUAGUCUGUAAGGUAUUUUUGAACGAUGUUGUAUUAAAGCUAGAUUUUUUUUUAUGUGCAUGCACGUUUAGAAGUUUUAAAUUAAA